UGAGGAAUAUUGCGCAAUGGGCGAAAGCCUGACGCAGCAACGCCGCGUGGAGGAUGACGGCCUUCGGGUCGUAAACUCCUUUUCUGCCGGAGGAGCAAGGACCGUACGGCAGGAAUAAGUCUCGGCUAACUACGUGCCAGCAGCCGCGGUAAAACGUAGGAGGCAAGCGUUACCCGGAUUUACUGGGCGUAAAGCGUGUGCAGGCGGCACGACAGGUCGGGCGUGAAAGCCCUCGGCUCAACUGGGGGAGGCCGUCCGAAACCGUCGGGCUUGAGCACCGGAGAGGGACGUGGAAUUCCCGGUGGAGCGGUGAAAUGCGUAGAGAUCGGGAGGAACACCAGUGGCGCAGGCGGCGUCCUGGCCGGUUGCUGACGCUCAGACACGAAAGCUUGGGGAGCGAACGGG
This 405-nucleotide ribosomal RNA is filed under the name uncultured Anaerolineae bacterium. RNAcentral describes it as "bacterial SSU rRNA". It matches the Rfam family "Bacterial small subunit ribosomal RNA", at positions 355 to 776 of the family's 1533-position model. Lineage: Bacteria; Bacillati; Chloroflexota; Anaerolineae. The record is from RNAcentral.